GCUAAUAUGAAUCAUCAGACUCAUUUGCGUUUUUGAGAUACUGGUUCAUGACAUUGCCUGCCACUCUCUCAGUCUCAUUGACCGAGGGCAGUUCUAGGCCCUGCCCAUUGAGCUCCCUGCGGGAUGUGCUAACUCUGUCUUCUGACUCUUGAGUUCCGUGAUGUGUUAUUGACCUGAAGUCUGUUUUAUGAUUAAGCCAAGCGCCCAUUAUUAAAAUCCACAAAUGGAGUCUAUUAUACAUGCCUACAAAGGCAAAGCUGACUUCCAAGACCGUUGGCCUAAACUGAAAUUUCAAGCAAAACCUGGUGCUGCAAAUACUGUUGUUUCUUGCUCCUUUCCUGAGGUUGAGAGGAGGGAAGAGAAAAAAACUGAAGAGGAACAGAAAAGCAAGGAGAAGACAGAGGAGGAUACAAGAAAGGUGAGCCACAAGAAAAUAGAAUAAUAGGGGCGCCUGGGUGGCACAGCGGUUAAGCGUCUGCCUUCAGCUCAGAGCG
Ailuropoda melanoleuca (giant panda) is the source of this 494-nucleotide long non-coding RNA. RefSeq lists it as uncharacterized. The transcript has 3 exons. Lineage: Eukaryota; Metazoa; Chordata; Mammalia; Carnivora; Ursidae. The record is from RefSeq and is a predicted model, not a curated record.